Molecule: unclassified non-coding RNA, 185 nt
Filed under: Funneliformis sp.
Lineage: Eukaryota; Fungi; Glomeromycota; Glomeromycetes; Glomerales; Glomeraceae
Description: partial internal transcribed spacer region
Rfam family: Eukaryotic small subunit ribosomal RNA (bases 1-46)
Source: RNAcentral
AAGUCGUAACAAGGUUUCCGUAGGUGAACCUGCGGAAGGAUCAUUAAUGAUUUUAAAGCGAGUCGAGCGUUAAGCGAGGCUUGCGAAAAUAUUUAAAACCCCACUCUUUUUAACUUUAAAAAAAAUAAAUCAUGAUACAUGAAUUUAAAAAAAGAUCACUUUCAACAACGGAUCUCUUGGCUCUC